RNAcentral lists this ribosomal RNA (468 nucleotides) under uncultured bacterium. Its description in RNAcentral is "partial 16S ribosomal RNA". It matches the Rfam family "Bacterial small subunit ribosomal RNA", at positions 28 to 507 of the family's 1533-position model. The record is from RNAcentral.
GACGAACGCUGGCGGCGUGCUUAACACAUGCAAGUCGAACGGAAAGGCCCUGCUUUUGUGGGGUGCUCGAGUGGCGAACGGGUGAGUAACACGUGAGUAACCUGCCCUUGACUUUGGGAUAACUUCAGGAAACUGGGGCUAAUACCGGAUAGGAGCUCCUGCUGCAUGGUGGGGGUUGGAAAGUUUCGGCGGUUGGGGAUGGACUCGCGGCUUAUCAGCUUGUUGGUGGGGUAGUGGCUUACCAAGGCUUUGACGGGUAGCCGGCCUGAGAGGGUGACCGGCCACAUUGGGACUGAGGUACGGCCCAGACUCCUACGGGAGGCAGCAGUGGGGAAUAUUGCACAAUGGGCGGAAGCCUGAUGCAGCAACUCCGCGUGCGUGAUGACGGCCUUCGGGUUGUAAACCGCUUUCGCCUGUGACGAAGCGUGAGUGACGGUAAUGGGUAAAGAAGCACCGGCUAACUACGUG